CUCGUAGGCUGCCAACUAAGUCAGACGUGAAAUCCCUCGGCUUAACCGGGGAACUGCGUCUGAUACUGGAUGGCUUGAGUUCGGGAGAGGGAUGCGGAAUUCCAGGUGUAGCGGUGAAAUGCGUAGAUAUCUGGAGGAACACCGGUGGCGAAGGCGGCAUCCUGGACCGAUACUGACGCUGAGGAGCGAAAGCCAGGGGAGCAAACG
RNAcentral lists this ribosomal RNA (207 nucleotides) under uncultured bacterium. Its description in RNAcentral is "partial 16S ribosomal RNA". It matches the Rfam family "Bacterial small subunit ribosomal RNA", at positions 568 to 774 of the family's 1533-position model. The record is from RNAcentral.